Hypomesus transpacificus is the source of this 4475-nucleotide long non-coding RNA. RefSeq lists it as uncharacterized. The transcript has 5 exons. The record is from RefSeq and is a predicted model, not a curated record. NCBI's taxonomy places the organism in Eukaryota, Metazoa, Chordata, Actinopteri, Osmeriformes, Osmeridae.
GAAAAAGUCAUUACUCACUCAACAGUUUCUGCAGUUUUCCAAUCUCUUAAAGUGGUUUUCCUGUGUCCUGAUGGAUAAAUAUAUAAAGAAAGAGAUGACCGGGACCGGAUUGAAAAGAAACGACAUGAAGUAUUCAACCGAAUAAUAAAAUUGAACAAGACGCUUAAGAAAAGCAACUUGACCCUUCACACUCCCCUCUCUUCGGAAGUAGAAAACUGCUGCUCCCUGUCUGCCUUGCGCUGCUUCAGAAAGGAGCUGGAUAAACUCUCCCAUGAACUCUCCCAUAAACCCUCCCAUAAACAGAAUCUGAUGGUACUGCUAAGAAACCUAGGAGAUCCAGACACGGAGAAUGGUGUAAACUUCUGCAGUACAGAGGAGAUUAAGGUAACUAUCAAUUUCCAAAACGUAGACCUUUAGUUUUGUGUUGUAACAAACAAAUCAAGUUUGGCAUGAAUCUAAAUGUCUGUUUUCUUGUAUUCCUCCAGGACACGGUUUGUACACCUUGUCAUUCACAUCCAAAGAAGGACGCCAAGGAAUUUGUGACACAGUUGAAAUACCUAUUUCAAAAGGUAUCUACUUUGAAUUCACCUCACAGACUACCAAUGAACUGUAGUGUCACGUAUUUUCACAGUGCCAAUCUCAUACUAACUGAUAUCUACUAUGCUGUUCUCCUACCAGGCUAACAGCAUGUGAAUGGAAACCAGAACAAAGAGACGUCUGAAUGUGUAAAGAACACUACACUGUGAAGCCACCGGUGGCUAGAUCAUUAAGGAUUACGGCCAUCCUGCUAAAUAACUUAUUUAAUUAAUAUUUAUUCUUUUAACAUGCAAGUCUUCUCUAAGAAGGAUAGUUUUACUACCAAAUCCUCAGAGCUGCUUUUGCUUUACCAGUUCACACUGUGUAUACAGGAUGUCUUUAAUUUAUUCAUGUAAUGAGCUUAAUGUUCGUGUUCAAUAGUUUUUAUUGAGUCGAUAGAGCCUAUAGACAAAAAAUGAAUGUUGAAUCUCAGGAAAACGGUAUUUCCAACAACAUUCUGAUAAUAUUUUGUUGAUCCUGUGUUUGUAUAAAAAUCUGUCAAGAUAUGUGUUGUUGACAGUGUAUGUUCACCUGUGCUCUUCUCUGUAGCUCUAACUCUGAUGCUAUUUUCAGUAAUUUAAGUUUUAACUUAUCUAGAUUCAAAUGAAAUAAAACAGAUCAAACUACAUUUGUGUAAUUCUUGCCUGACAUGUCUGACUGGGUUGCCAUGUUGAAGACAACUGAGCAACUGUAAAGCAAUCUGUCAACCUACUAAAAAAGCAUGGUAUUAAAACAGCAAUGUGUUCCCGGAGAGCCCUUAACAGGGCUGGCAUAUAACUAAAGUAUGUCACCUAAAAACUACCAAGUCCCUACCAAGAUAUAGUAGGGGUAAGCCACAUGUACCAUGGUGUCUCUCACGGUGACAGGUGCUGGAUGCUGUGAGCAGGUGUCAGGCCUGCAGCUUGACUCUGGACUUCCCAGAGCUGGGGUUUUCUUUUUCAGAGACAACAACAAAACAAGACAAAACAGACCAAACAAUCUCUGUUUGGAGAUGCACAUCCUGCCCAAACAUUCUGCACCUCCAUCCAUCACUAAAGCACUCUGUCUCUGGUAACUCUGUCAUUAAAAUGUAGACUGUCCACCCGCGCCAAGUGAGGCCCUACGAUGUCACAACUCUUGAAUUUGAGAUUUCACAAGUUAUUGCAAGGUCAGGUUUAGUUGUUAUUUUGUGUCAGACGUGAUGGUUUUGGGUUGUAGGAAAGGUGUUGUGGGUUUGGUGGUUCAUGCAGAACAGGUGUGGUGUUUCUGUGGUCCGCUCAUAUGCUGGGUUUUCCCUGACCACAGGGGGCAGAAUUCCCAUAGUGUGAAAUGCAUGUAUUCAUGCUGAUACUGUGAAAAACAAGUGUUAUUUAAUAAAUGAUGUUGCAAAGGUGUAUUUUGACAAACUUUCUACACUCUUGAUUAUGUUAAAAUUUUUAAGAUUUUUUUUUUUACAUUUGAAGUUUUAAUACUACAUACAAAGUAAUUUCAUAGAGACAAAAUAUAUUUACAAACAAAAACAAGACACAAAGACAGUGUCAAUUCUUCACACAGGCAGGAGUGUGAAAAUAUCAACAUAAUUGUGCUCCCGAAGUUGAUAUCCUUUUGUCACCGCCGGACACAAAUGAUGAAUCAGCAACAUUUAGCCCAUUUUGGGCAUCAACCCAGAGCGGCAGUAUUUAACAUCCUGAGACUAAGAAUGGGUUGGAUGUCCGGCAUGGGAAACUGAUUUGGUGGAAACUAAUUCAAGCUUUGCAACCGGUAGAUUUCUGCCGCAAGAAAUAGAAUACAAAAAGGUCAGGACACCAGUCCGGUAAUUUCAAGCAUGUCUUCCCCUUUUCCUCUCCCGUCUCUCCCGUCUCUCCCUCAAACUGUCUCCAUUCAAAAAAAAAUAUAUAAUGUGUCCAAACUUUUGACUGGUACUGUAUAUGUAUAUAUAUAAAAUGCAUUAAAAAAAAACAAGAUAGAGUUGCAGGUCUUAUCAGGUUCACAGCUGUUGAUAAUAUCUGUCAUCCGUUUGUGGAGAAGUACGCAGUGGAACAACCUGCCUGCUGGUUCUGUUUCAUUUGAAUUCAAUGGAAACAUUGAUCAGUCUUUCCACUAGACAGCCUACUCUAGGGUUUGCAGGUACUGCCAUAACUCCAGAGGGAGCAAACCUACAAAGUCUCAGAUAAAACGUUAUGACGCAAGCAUGUAGGCCUGUGGUGCUUUUCCUUAAUGGCACACAUUAGACUGGGCAGACCGCUACCUGCUUACAGUGGUCUGUGUUUUUUUUCCUCUAUGCUUUUAACCAUCAUCCUAAAAUCAAACGUCAGUUUCUACACUUUCUCAGGCCUCUUUUCUACAUCCCUGAUUGAAAUCAAGUGGGCCUAAAGACUGAGGAUCGCAUGAAUCUUUGAAACCCUGACUAUGACUUAAAAGGUCAAAGACGCAGGUGUGGAAUCACUCAGGGAAACUCUAUAACAACACUGCUUAACAAAUUUAACUCAUACAAAUCACAAUUAACAUAUUUGAGAGAAGUAAAUAAAUAAGUUAAAGAGUUUCUCUCUGGUCUGCCCAGUAAAAGGUAUUCAAACUAAAUCAUUUUGGUUUCAAGGAAGGUAACCCCAUGUUUCAGUGGUGCAGGACUGUCUCCGAUCACUUUCUGAAUCACAGUGGCUUUUCUCUCCACAUGGCCAAUGGAGUUCUGACUUCACACUUUCCAUCUGUAGCAUUGGAGCCUGCAUAGCGCACGAGUCUCGUCUUGAUUUCUGCCUGUGCACAUUUGUUUCAUGCAGCAUGUUAUUUAACAUUACCAGAUCAUCUGAAAGUACAUAUGUAAAGUGAGUCAAACGUUUUUAUGGAUGGAUUAGAUUAUUCAUUCAGUGGUUUGAGCAUUUGGCUAUAGAUCAAGAGGUCACAGGUUCAAAUCCCCCCUUUUACUUGCUUUGGAAAAAGGUAUCUGCUAAAUGAACACAAUCAUUAUUAAUAAUAUGUCAGAAAUGAUCUGAUUAUUAAAUAAUAAUAGUAGUACAUGCUAAGAGCUCAAUGCCCUCUUCUCCUAAUCCUCUUCUCAUCCUGCCCACCCCACUUAGUCAAAUACGUCAUGACAGGAUCUGGGGACCAGUACCGCAGCAGUGACCUUCAUUAGGGAAAACUGACAUAGAGAAAGUUCCAGAGGACACGGGACAAUAGGUUCACGUGGGCGUUGUGGUCAAAAUUAUUGUGAUUCACUGAAGUACUGAAAUGACUAAGGUGAAUGAAGGUGAUUAUGUCAGGUCUUAAAAUAGCUUCAUUUUUAAAUGGCUGUACCAGAGGCAUGGAUAAAUAUGGAAGUAAAUAAAGAAUCUGAAACAAAUAUCACCUUUACCGCAUCCCCUCCAUAUUUACAAAUGAGUCCAACAUCUCUCUUUAGGACAUUCAGAGAAGUCCUUUAUCUCAGUUUUCCACCCCUCACUAAACAGGAGUACCAGUCUGGCAUGGAUUACAAUUAAAGAUUCAUAUAAAAUUCUAUUCUGUUUACUUGUGGUCAAAGACUGGCCUCCUGGCACUUUGAAACCAUGUAAAAAUCCCUUUUGACCGAUGCUAUAUAAUCCUAACUCCAUCAUUCCAUGUCUUGGGAUUAACCAAGACUUCCCUAGCAACCCAGCCAUUGACAUCCCAGAAGAAGUCAAUGUGAAGGUACUGGAAUUAUUGUAACUAUUUGAAGUAUUCCUAAUGCUGGUUAGUUGCCAUUGCCGUCCAGGCACAAACAGUAGAAUAUUAAACUAAAAACAUUUAGCAGACGCUCUUAUCCAGAGGGAUUUACGGUCCCUGUACUUACAGUAAUUAAGGGAAAACGGAAAUAGAGAAAGUUCUAGAGGACACGGGACAAUAGGUUCAUGUGGGCAUUGUGGUCAAAAUGAUGAGGUACUGAAGUACCCUACUUGCCUCUGGGAGAA